UACGUAGGGUGCAAGCGUUGUCCGGAAUUAUUGGGCGUAAAGAGCUCGUAGGCGGUCUGUCGCGUCGGCUGUGAAAAUCCCGAGGCUCAACCUCGGGUCUGCAGUCGAUACGGGCAAACUAGAGUAUUGCAGGGGAGACUGGAAUUCCUGGUGUAGCGGUAGAAAUGCGCAGAUAUCAGGAGGAACACCGGUGGCGAAGGCGGGUCUCUGGGCAAUAACUGACGCUGGAGGAGCGAAAGCGUGGGGAGCGAACAGG
This 256-nucleotide ribosomal RNA is filed under the name uncultured bacterium. Its description in RNAcentral is "partial 16S ribosomal RNA". It matches the Rfam family "Bacterial small subunit ribosomal RNA", at positions 524 to 776 of the family's 1533-position model. The record is from RNAcentral.